Molecule: ribosomal RNA, 450 nt
Filed under: uncultured bacterium
Lineage: Bacteria
Description: bacterial SSU rRNA
Rfam family: Bacterial small subunit ribosomal RNA
Source: RNAcentral
GUGGGGAAUAUUGGACAAUGGGCGAAAGCCUGAUCCAGCCAUGCCGCGUGUGUGAAGAAGGUCUUCGGAUUGUAAAGCACUUUAAGUUGGGAGGAAGGGCAGUAAGUUAAUACCUUGCUGUUUUGACGUUACCGACAGAAUAAGCACCGGCUAACUUCGUGCCAGCAGCCGCGGUAAUACGAAGGGUGCAAGCGUUAAUCGGAAUUACUGGGCGUAAAGCGCGCGUAGGUGGUUUUGUAAGUUGGAGGUGAAAUCCCCGGGCUCAACCUGGGAACUGCCUCCAAAACUGCAUGACUAGAGUACGGUAGAGGGUAGUGGAAUUUCCUGUGUAGCGGUGAAAUGCGUAGAUGUAGGAAGGAACACCAGUGGCGAAGGCGACUACCUGGACUGAUACUGACACUGAGGUGCGAAAGCGUGGGGAGCAAACAGGAUUAGAUACCCUAGUAGUCC